UACGUAGGGGGCAAGCGUUGUCCGGAAUCAUUGGGCGUAAAGAGCGUGUAGGCGGCUCGAUAAGUCUGCUGUGAAAGUCCAGGGCUCAACCCUGGAAGGCCGGUGGAAACUGUCGGGCUAGAGUCCGGAAGAGGCGAGUGGAAUUCCCGGUGUAGCGGUGAAAUGCGCAGAUAUAGGGAGGAACACCAAUGGCGAAGGCAGCUCGCUGGGACGGUACUGACGCUGAGACGCGAAAGCGUGGGGAGCAAACAGG
RNAcentral lists this ribosomal RNA (253 nucleotides) under uncultured bacterium. RNAcentral describes it as "partial 16S ribosomal RNA". It matches the Rfam family "Bacterial small subunit ribosomal RNA", at positions 524 to 776 of the family's 1533-position model. The record is from RNAcentral.